AAAAAGCUCGUAGUUGGACUUCAGAGUGAGCUCAGACGGUCGGCCUAAGGGUCAGAACUGGUUGACUCUCUCUUGUUUGUGGGAGCCGCCCGGAGUUAACUCUUCGGAUGUGCUCUCCACAUCGUUUACCUUGAAAAAAUUAGAGUGUUCAAAGCAGGCGUUUGCUUGAAUAUAUUAGCAUGGAAUAAUGGAAUAGGACCCUGGUUCUAUUUUGUUGGUUUUGAGGACCAGAGUAAUGAUUAAUAGGGAUAGUUGGGGGCAUUCAUAUUUCAUUGUCAGAGGUGAAAUUCUUGGAUUUAUGAAAGAUGAACUUCUGCGAAAGCAUUUGCCAAGGAUGUUUUCAUUAAUCAAGAACGAAAGUUAGGGGAUCGAAGACGAUCAGAUACCGUCGUAGUCUUAACCAUAAACUAUGCCGACUAGGGAUUGGG
Molecule: ribosomal RNA, 428 nt
Filed under: uncultured marine eukaryote
Lineage: Eukaryota
Description: SSU rRNA
Rfam family: Eukaryotic small subunit ribosomal RNA
Source: RNAcentral